AUUGACAUAUUCACCUUCCGACAAAAGUUCAUUCAAAAUCUCUUUGAGUGAGAGAGAUGAAGGAGAAAGGGUUGAGAGGAAUGAAGGAGGUGAGUAAGGGUUUGUGAUUUCUUUUUUUAGUUUUGAGAAUGAAAAUUAUUAAAAUAAGACAAGUGUUUCUGAUUUUUUUCAAUUGGGGCUAGAGUAGGGAUGACAGAGAAAAUAUCGAAGUGAAAGAGAUGAAAAAGAAAGGGUUGAAAGGAAUGAGAGAGGUGGAUAAGGGUUUGGGG
This 269-nucleotide long non-coding RNA is filed under the name Vigna radiata. RNAcentral's name for it is "long non-coding RNA (VRAD_LNC012189)". The record is from RNAcentral. Lineage: Eukaryota; Viridiplantae; Streptophyta; Magnoliopsida; Fabales; Fabaceae.